UGUCUUGUAAUUGGAAUGAUGGGAAUUUAAACCUCUUCCAGAGUAUCAAUUGGAGGGCAAGUCUGGUGCCAGCAGCCGCGGUAAUUCCAGCUCCAAUAGCGUAUAUUAAAAUUGUUGCAGUUAAAAAGCUCGUAGUUGAAUUUCUGCUGCAUUGUUUCUUCUCAUGUCGAGUGAUUCAUUGUGGCUUAUUUCGGAUUGUUUUUUACUUUCCGGAUGAUUACUUUGAGAAAAUUAGAGUGCUCAAAGCAGGCUUUUGCCUUGAAUAGUUUAGCAUGGAAUAAUAAAGUAGGACUUUGGUUCUAUUUUGUUGGUUUUAGGUACCAAAGUAAUGGUUAAUAGGAACAGUUGGGGGCAUUCGUAUUUAACUGUCAGAGGUGAAAUUCUUAGAUUUGUUAAAGACGAACUACUGCGAAAGCAUUUGCCAAGGAUGUUUUCAUUAAUAACGAAAGUUAGGGGAUCGAAGACGAUCAGAUACCGUCGUAGUCCUAACCAUAAACUA
This 499-nucleotide ribosomal RNA is filed under the name Theileria sp. Its description in RNAcentral is "SSU rRNA". It matches the Rfam family "Eukaryotic small subunit ribosomal RNA", at positions 499 to 1039 of the family's 1831-position model. Lineage: Eukaryota; Apicomplexa; Aconoidasida; Piroplasmida; Theileriidae. The record is from RNAcentral.